UUCAGAGCAGAGAAAAGAAAGCAGAGGUGCUUUAUGCUGGUGCCAGUGUAAAACCCUCCUGACAGUGCCCUGGUACAGAUGGACACCACUGCCUCUCACAGGCCAGAGCCUCAGCCUGUGUGUUUUGGAACAGCUUCACUGAUCCUGCAGCCUGGGAUCUGCAGAGCACAGUUUUUAUUUCCCAGCACUCAGAUAUCUUGGGAAAAGCCACCUGGAGCUCAAAGUGCUGUUGCAGUUGUUUCUGGCAGAGAUGCCUGUUCCCCAAAUACACCUCAGCAUCCAGAUACACAGUGGCAAGCACUUCUACAGUGAUACAACACAAAUUUGUGCUCACAGCAUACACAGAGGCUUGGCACAGGAAAAGCAGAGGAGAACCAGCAAUGAGUGACAAGAAUUACUUUUGUAGAUGCAGUUCUAGCUUCAGUGUGGAACUCUGCUGUGCAGAGAAGGGACUUGAGCCAGCUUUCUUCUCUUGCUGUGUGACAGAGCCACCAUGCCAUAGAUAAUGCUGGAUUGAUUCUCUCCCUUUGUGUUUGAAAUUUCAGGCAGAAUUUCAGAAUCCUCCACUGGCCAAGAAUCACUGAAACUGCCCUUCCCAAAGGAGAAGUUUCAGCCUUUCCACAAAACAGUUCUGUCAACGGAACAAAAUAUCAUGACCAGUGGACUUGUACCAUUUCCUAAAGCAGCCAAGAGGCUUCAGGACCAUGAUAUUAAUUUUCAGAACUUUAUACUCUUAGAAACCUUAAUCUUACUUCAUUUCCUUGAGGGUGAGAACAGUCAGCAUGAAUUUACCACAGGUCAGAUGAAGAUUAGAGCAAGCCAAAGGCAGAGAGGAGCAUGCAACCUCAGCCCAACCCUGAUGGCUUUAGGAACAUGGUGUUUUCUGAGCCUUGGCAGGGCUGACUGACUCCAAUACAGGAGCUCUUAAAUCAGCACACAUUACAUUUAUUGGAAAUGCAUCUGCCAAGAAUUUCCUCCUAAUGAAGCAAAUAAAAAGAACUGAAAUUGCUUAGUAUAUACCUUUAGAAAAUUACUCAUCUUAAUGUUAAACCUUAACAUAUUGGCACUGCUACAAUUAAUAGCCUGUUUGAAUUUCCCUUACAGUUUCUAUUACAGGAGGCUCAUAAUUCAGGCAUAACAAUCUUACUCUAGGCUGAAACUUGUUAUUAUUUAGUGUCUGAACCCAUUUCAUGCAGCUUUUCUGCACAACCCAGCUCACCUCCCACUCCCUAAGAGUAACAGAUGUGGGGUUCCCCAACAUAACCUGCUGGUAAGGGGCCAGCCAGCUCAGGUGUAAAAUUUGCAAGAGUGUAUUUUUAAAAGAAACAGCUGAGUCUGUUCAAGAGCAGGUGGGGUAACAGCUCAGGAAGUGGUUCUUCUAUCUAAAUAUUUAAACACAAUCAGAGAAUGACCCUGCUCAGGGACAGGUCAGAGAAAUCAGCCAGAGAAUGGAAACAGAAUCAUGUCUGGAGAGAUUUUCACCACAGCAAAAGAAGUGAUGACUUUGGGAUUCCUUCCAGAUUGGUCAUUACUGCUCAUUCUGGCUCAGGUUGUGACUGCAAACAUCAAAACCAGAUCUGGGCAGGAUCAAACCACUCUGCCAUGUAAAUCUGUUCCACCAGCCGCAGAUGCAAGCUGCACUCCUGCUGAAUUACCCAGAACAAUGAUGAUGCUACGAAAGGUUUUCUACCAUGACAUGAAAACAGAGCAUCUUAACUGGCAAAUUAAAUUUAUGUGAGAUAAAUGGUUUGCAGGUGGAACACAAGAUUUUUCUAGUUGGGCAGCUGGAGUUCAAAAUCCCAAUUUACUAUACCUCAAAUCCACUACACAUUUCCUUUUCCUUGAGGCAUUACAGGCUUUCUACACUCUCACUUUUACAACUAUUUCUUUGAAUGUUUUUGAUAAUUUGCUGAAAUUUAAAAGUCCAUUCCUUGAACUCUCUUCUAAUUUUUGAAAGUUUUAACGAGUCAGAAUUAAGAUCUACUUUUUUGAAAAACAAUUCUCCAAAACACUGCCAGAGUUUUACCUUUUACUUUGCACUAAAAUUGCAAAAUAUUGGUAAAGGUGACUUAAUAUAUCACUUAUCAUACUAUCUGCAAACCCACAAGGAUCAUGACUUUGAAAAAGCAAAUUAUGGAAAAAUAAGUAGUAGGGAAUGGUUGUCAUCCAGUAGAAUGGAUCUGGCAGUAAAGAUCUCCAGUUUCCAUUCCCAGCCUUGCCUCUCACAGUAUCACCAUGAAAGUCACUUUCCUUCUCUGUUCCUCACCUUCCCCAUUUGUAAAACAUGAAUAUCGUGACUGACUUCACAGAAAGCCUCCAUGAUUCACUUAAUCAAAAUGCUCAACUGAAAAGUUUAUAUGAACCUUCAUUGAGGAAAAGAAAAUAAAACCAGCAGUUGAUGUAGUUGCCAACAAGAAAAAUCCCAAGAAGAAAAUGAACUGUAAAUUAUAAUUUUUGAGAACUUUACCAAACUGUAAAGGUUAUGACCCAUGACAUCAUGCUGAAACAGAGUUCAUGUGAAAAUACAACUCUACAGAUGAUCAUUGAUGAGCACUGAACAGGCAGCCACCAAGGAAGCUGUGUUUAUAGGAAUCACUUGAUCACAAAACACAGUGUUCUUUUUCAAUUUUAUGUGCAACAUGUCAGAGCAUGAUGAGAUUCCACCUAUUCUUGCACACUGAUGCAGAUUUCUCAUAAAAACAAAAAUCUCCCAGGUUAAAUCCACAUAUUUUAAGUCAGAGAUUGGCCGAGUUUUUCAUUAGCCUUAAAAUUAAACCUGUUUUUUAGGGUUUUAAAAAAAAUCUCUUUUCUUGCAUGAGAGACAA
Zonotrichia leucophrys gambelii is the source of this 2825-nucleotide long non-coding RNA. RefSeq lists it as uncharacterized. The record is from RefSeq and is a predicted model, not a curated record. Lineage: Eukaryota; Metazoa; Chordata; Aves; Passeriformes; Passerellidae. The transcript has 4 exons.